This 72-nucleotide transfer RNA is filed under the name Bos taurus (domestic cattle). It matches the Rfam family "tRNA". Rfam says of the family: Transfer RNA (tRNA) molecules are approximately 80 nucleotides in length. Their secondary structure includes four short double-helical elements and three loops (D, anti-codon, and T loops). The record is from Rfam by way of RNAcentral. RNAcentral also lists the same sequence under 5 other names. Lineage: Eukaryota; Metazoa; Chordata; Mammalia; Artiodactyla; Bovidae.
UCCCUGGUGGUCCAGUGGCUAGGACUCUGUGUUUUCACUGUGGGGGUCUGGGUUCAAUCCCUGGUUAGGGAA